RNAcentral lists this ribosomal RNA (253 nucleotides) under uncultured bacterium. Its description in RNAcentral is "partial 16S ribosomal RNA". It matches the Rfam family "Bacterial small subunit ribosomal RNA", at positions 524 to 776 of the family's 1533-position model. The record is from RNAcentral.
GACGAACCGUGCGAACGUUGUUCGGAAUUACUGGGCGUAAAGGGCCAGUAGGCGGCCAACUAAGUCGGAUGUGAAAUCCCCAGGCUCAACUUGGGAACUGCAUCCGAUACUGGAUGGCUUGAAUUCGGGAGAGGGAUGCAGAAUUCCAGGUGUAGCGGUGAAAUGCGUAGAUAUCUGGAGGAAUACCGGUGGCGAAGGCGGCAUCCUGGACCGACAUUGACGCUGAACGGCGAAAGCUAGGGGAGCAAACGGG